RNA transcript from Sarcophilus harrisii (Tasmanian devil), 2491 nucleotides. It is a transcript of the gene named cyclin A1, with no coding region annotated. The transcript is spliced from 10 exons. Lineage: Eukaryota; Metazoa; Chordata; Mammalia; Dasyuromorphia; Dasyuridae. The record is from RefSeq and is a predicted model, not a curated record.
GAUCCCGAUAGGGCGGGUGGGGAGAGCAGACCAGGGGAUGCUGAGUGGGUGCUUGGGUUUAACUGGCUAAAGGGGGCUGCUUGGGUGUGCCUCGGGCCUUCCCCGUCGGGGCUGGCCUCGGCUCCACUGCCUCGGGGGCCUCGCGUCGCUCUUUCAACCCAAAGUUCUCGGCUUCUCGGGCCUCGGGGGCAGGCUGCGGAAAAUACGUUAGAGGAGGGAAUUCGCAGCUGUUGCGGGGAACGGGCUCAUCACAGAGGCUGGCCCUUCCAAAGCUCCAGAAAGCGUAGAGCAGGGGUCCGAGGGGGAGCGCUCUGAUGUCCCAGCGCGACCGCCCGAGACAAGGAGGAGGACGGACGGCGGGUCAAGCCUGUGGCUUGGCGGUCCCGGGGGCGCCCCUCCCCGGGGAGGCAUAGGGCUUAAUCAGCGCGGGGGACAGGCCGCCGCCUGCCGCCCGCUGCCCGUUAGCGCCGCUUCCCGAGCCAGAACGCCCGAGGGUAGCCCUGGGUCGGCCGGGAGCGUGUCCGCUGGGGUCUCCAUGGCGAUACUCCUCUGGCUCCCAGCACGCCCGCUUCGGUUGGCAUGGAAGCCGCUACCUCGAGGGCCGGUCGCGCCCUCGAUUGGCCCGAUUCAACAGACGCGGGUGGCUUGAAAGUAAUUAGCGCUCAGCCCUCCUGGCAGCUUCCGCAAAGAGCUGGAGCUGAGCGCCCCGGCUGGAAUCUAUUAACACACUCCGCCCCUCCCCUCCCCUCCCCCACCCCAUUCCCCCGGCCCCACCCGCAGCUCCUCCAGCCCCAAUCCUGGAGCGCACUCAUUAAUUGGAAGGUCUAUAUAUAUAGGCUGGACCAGCUAGCGCUGCGGGUUCCAAGCUGGUUUGGGCAUCGCCUGUCUGGUCGGUGGGAGGAGGGCCGAAGAGCAGUGUCACUCCGGUGUCCAAGGAGGGGACGUGACCUUCACUUUUGGCCCGGGGAGACUGAGGCAAUGCGUCGCAGCAUCUCCAAAGGCAGGAUUCCUCUGGGCCCCGCAGCCCGAAGCCAGGAGAUCUGUCAGGUGGUUGCCAGAACCCAGCCAGUCCAGGACCCCCCACAAAGAACUGUGCUAGGGCUUCUAACUGAAAAUGGGCAAUACAGGAGGACGUGUGGCCAGGGAAUCACAACCAUCAGGUGCUUCUCUGGAUCAGAAAAUGUCUUCCCUCCAGCUGGAAAGAAACUAAUCUCUAACUGUAUGGUCCAUGUGCCAGCCAAGCAAGGCUUUGAUAUCUAUGUAGAUGAACCAGAACAUGGGGAAACAUGUAGCUGUAGCUGCACUGUUAGAGAAGAAAUUGCAUAUGAAGAUGUGUAUGAAGUAGAUACCAGCACCCUGAAAUCAGACCUCCACUUCCUCUUGGAUUUUAGCACAGUUUCUCCUAUGUUGGUGGAUACAUCUCUGCAAUCACAGUUUGAGGAUCAUUUAGAUAUUGGUACAGAUGUAAUAAAUGUGACUGAAUAUGCUGAAGAAAUUCAUCAAUACCUUAGAGAAGCUGAAAUGAAAUACAGACCAAAGGCCCACUACAUGCGGAAGCAGCCUGAUAUCACAGAAGGAAUGCGUACCAUUUUAGUGGAUUGGCUGGUAGAGGUGGGGGAAGAAUACAAACUUCGAGCUGAAACUCUGUACCUGGCUGUCAAUUUCUUGGACAGGUUUCUUUCGUGCAUGUCUGUUCUCAGAGGGAAAUUGCAGCUUGUAGGAACAGCAGCCAUUCUGUUGGCUUCGAAAUAUGAAGAGAUUUAUCCACCAGAAGUUGAUGAAUUUGUCUACAUAACGGAUGACACUUACACAAAACGGCAACUUUUAAGAAUGGAACAUCUGCUCUUGAAAGUGUUAGCUUUUGACUUGACAGUGCCCACUACCAAUCAAUUUCUUCUUCAGUACUUACAGAAGCAAGGAGUCUGUCUAAGAACUGAGAACCUGGCCAAGGUAUGCCAGGCAACUGCUGAACAUCAGUAUGUUGCAGAACUGAGCCUCCUUGAAGCGGACCCAUUCUUGAAAUAUGUUCCUUCACUUAUUGCUGCAGCUGCUUAUUGUCUGGCAAACUAUACUGUGAACCGGCACUUCUGGCCAGAAACCCUGGCUGCCUUCACUGGGUAUUCAUUAAGUGAAAUAGUGCCUUGUCUGAGUGAGCUGCACAGAGCAUGCCUUGAUAUCCCCCAUCGACCUCAACAAGCAAUUAGGGAAAAGUAUAAGGCAUCAAAGUGGGGAGAGGUGUGGUUAGCUACCUAGUUGAGUGAUGGCACCAGACUGGGUGGAGCACCAUGAGCUUGCUAUACCAUCAAGAGGCUCCCCGAUUGGCUGAGAGUGAACCUGGGAUUGGAAGAAUGAACCAGUGAUCUUGGUUUAGACAGCUCAAGUAGGCAAUCCCCAAUUUGGCUAAGGUACCUGCAUGUCUCCCUUAUGGAACCACCUGCAAUUCUUCCUCUGAAAUAAAAUUCCAGAAAUAAAGCAUUUAAUCUCAAGAUCA